Molecule: ribosomal RNA, 451 nt
Filed under: uncultured bacterium
Lineage: Bacteria
Description: partial 16S ribosomal RNA
Rfam family: Bacterial small subunit ribosomal RNA
Source: RNAcentral
AACGAACGCUGGCGGCAGGCUUAACACAUGCAAGUCGAACGGGUGUAGCAAUACAUCAGUGGCAGACGGGUGAGUAACACGUGGGAACCUUCCUAGGGGUACGGAACAACUCAGGGAAACUUGAGCUAAUACCGUAUACGUCCGCGAGGCGAAAGAUUUAUCGCCCUUAGACGGGCCCGCGUCGGAUUAGCUAGUUGGUGGGGUAACGGCCUACCAAGGCGACGAUCCGUAGCUGAUCUUAGAGGAUGAUCAGCCACACUGGGACUGAGACACGGCCCAGACUCCUACGGGAGGCAGCAGUGGGGAAUCUUGGACAAUGGGCGCAAGCCUGAUCCAGCCAUGCCGCGUGAGUGAAGAAGGUCUUCGGAUUGUAAAGCUCUUUUGCCAGGGACGAUAAUGACGGUACCUGGAGAAUAAGCCCCGGCAAACUUCGUGCCAGCAGCCGCAGUAA